This 531-nucleotide long non-coding RNA is filed under the name Ananas comosus (pineapple). Its description in RNAcentral is "long non-coding RNA (ACOM_LNC021058)". Lineage: Eukaryota; Viridiplantae; Streptophyta; Magnoliopsida; Poales; Bromeliaceae. The record is from RNAcentral.
GAAGAAGAAGCAUUUGCUUCUUCAUAAUACACCCCAAAACACUAUUCAUCCUGGGCAGCUUAAAAUCUGAUAACUUUCGCCGGAGCUUCCUGAAUGUCCGUUUGAGCUCAAAUUUGACAGUCAUGUUCGGUUUUACUUAACUUAACAAGCUGACGAUCGCUGGUUCAGUUUCGACCCUGUUUGGUCACUGAAAACUGUACCGAACUGCAAUCUUUAUCAGAUAGCUUUCGAAUUUUAUUUCUCACUCUAUGGGUGUCAGAAAAAUAUGAAACCUUAAAUCUAGCCUCAUAAAAAUAUUUCUGACAUCUUUGCCAAUUUUCAUAAUUUUCUGAGACUGUGCAUUUUCUGCUAAUUUAUCUGCCCCGUUUCCAACAGAAAAUUUUAAAUCUUCUGUUUUAAUUCCGAUUUCAGCACAAGUCACUUCUGACUUAUGUUUUACUUCUAUAAAUCCAAUAAAAAUAGUUUCCCACACUAAUUUUAUUUAUUUUUAUUUUUAUACCAAAAUCUGGUAUGUUACAUCUUCGAUGAUUU